AUCUGGCUGGCUCAAUUGGUAGAGCAUGUGACUUGUUCUCAGGGCUGUGAGUUCAAGCCUCAUACUGGGUG
RNAcentral lists this transfer RNA (71 nucleotides) under Canis lupus familiaris (dog). It matches the Rfam family "tRNA". From Rfam's summary of the family: Transfer RNA (tRNA) molecules are approximately 80 nucleotides in length. Their secondary structure includes four short double-helical elements and three loops (D, anti-codon, and T loops). Further hydrogen bonds mediate the characteristic L-shaped molecular structure. tRNAs have two regions of fundamental functional importance: the anti-codon, which is responsible for specific mRNA codon recognition, and the 3' end, to which the tRNAs corresponding amino acid is attached (by aminoacyl-tRNA synthetases). tRNAs cope with the degeneracy of the genetic code in two manners: having more than one tRNA (with a specific anti-codon) for a particular amino acid; and 'wobble' base-pairing, i.e. permitting non-standard base-pairing at the 3rd anti-codon position. RNAcentral also lists the same sequence under 1 other name. The record is from Rfam by way of RNAcentral. Lineage: Eukaryota; Metazoa; Chordata; Mammalia; Carnivora; Canidae.